RNAcentral lists this ribosomal RNA (641 nucleotides) under Arthrobacter sp. I12A-02637. Its description in RNAcentral is "bacterial SSU rRNA". It matches the Rfam family "Bacterial small subunit ribosomal RNA", at positions 94 to 737 of the family's 1533-position model. The record is from RNAcentral. Lineage: Bacteria; Bacillati; Actinomycetota; Actinomycetes; Micrococcales; Micrococcaceae.
AGUGGCGAACGGGUGAGUAACACGUGAGUAACCUGCCCUUGACUCUGGGAUAAGCCUGGGAAACCGGGUCUAAUACUGGAUACGACCUUCCCGCGCAUGCGGUGUUGGUGGAAAGCUUUUGCGGUUUUGGAUGGACUCGCGGCCUAUCAGCUUGUUGGUGGGGUAAUGGCCUACCAAGGCGACGACGGGUAGCCGGCCUGAGAGGGUGACCGGCCACACUGGGACUGAGACACGGCCCAGACUCCUACGGGAGGCAGCAGUGGGGAAUAUUGCACAAUGGGCGCAAGCCUGAUGCAGCGACGCCGCGUGAGGGAUGAAGGCCUUCGGGUUGUAAACCUCUUUCAGUAGGGAAGAAGCUGGCCUUUUGGGUUGGUGACGGUACCUGCAGAAGAAGCGCCGGCUAACUACGUGCCAGCAGCCGCGGUAAUACGUAGGGCGCAAGCGUUAUCCGGAAUUAUUGGGCGUAAAGAGCUCGUAGGCGGUUUGUCGCGUCUGCCGUGAAAGUCCGGGGCUUAACUCCGGAUCUGCGGUGGGUACGGGCAGACUAGAGUGCAGUAGGGGAGACUGGAAUUCCUGGUGUAGCGGUGAAAUGCGCAGAUAUCAGGAGGAACACCGAUGGCGAAGGCAGGUCUCUGGGCUGU